Molecule: ribosomal RNA, 449 nt
Filed under: uncultured bacterium
Lineage: Bacteria
Description: partial 16S ribosomal RNA
Rfam family: Bacterial small subunit ribosomal RNA
Source: RNAcentral
GUCGAGAAUCUUUCACAAUGGGGGCAACCCUGAUGGAGCGACGCCGCGUGGAGGAUAAGGUCUUCGGAUUGUAAACUCCUGUCAUGCGUGAACAAGGUUGCUUGGAUAAUACCUGAGCAAAUUGAUGGUAGCGCAAGAGGAAGAGACGGCUAACUCUGUGCCAGCAGCCGCGGUAAUACAGAGGUCUCAAGCGUUGUUCGGAAUCACUGGGCGUAAAGGGUGCGUAGGUGGCGUGGCAAGUCAGAUGUGAAAGCCCGGGGCUCAACCUCGGAACUGCAUGCGAUACUGCCAUGCUAGAGUACUGGAGGGGUGACUAGAAUUCUCGGUGUAGCAGUGAAAUGCGUAGAUAUCGAGAGGAAUACCAAAGGCGUAGGCAGGUCACUGGACAGUUACUGACACUGAGGCACGAAGGCCAGGGGAGCGAACGGGAUUAGAUACCCUUGUAGUCC